GAUCAUGGCUCAGAUUGAACGCUGGCGGAAUGCUUUACACAUGCAAGUCGAACGGUAGAGGGGGCAACCCCUUGAGAGUGGCGAACGGGUGAGUAAUAUAUCGGAACGUGCCCAGUCGUGGGAGAUAACGUAGCGAAAGUUACGCUAAUACCGCAUACGAUCUAAGGAUGAAAGCGGGGGAUCGCAAGACCUCGCGCGAUUGGAGCGGCCGAUAUCAGAUUAGGUAGUUGGUGAGGUAAAGGCUCACCAAGCCGACGAUCUGUAGCUGGUCUGAGAGGACGACCAGCCACACUGGGACUGAGACACGGCCCAGACUCCUACGGGAGGCAGCAGUGGGGAAUUUUGGACAAUGGGCGCAAGCCUGAUCCAGCAAUGCCGCGUGCAGGAUGAAGGCCUUCGGGUUGUAAACUGCUUUGUACGGAACGAAACGGUGAGCUCUAAUACAGUUUGCUAAUGACGGUACCGUAAGAAUAAGCACCGGCUAACUACGUG
This 492-nucleotide ribosomal RNA is filed under the name uncultured bacterium. RNAcentral describes it as "bacterial SSU rRNA". It matches the Rfam family "Bacterial small subunit ribosomal RNA", at positions 15 to 507 of the family's 1533-position model. The record is from RNAcentral.